GCCUUCAUAGUCUAGUGGUAAAACACGCCCUUGGUAAGGGCGAAUCCCGUGUCCGAUUCACGGUGAAGGCACCA
Molecule: transfer RNA, 74 nt
Filed under: Rickettsiales bacterium
Lineage: Bacteria; Pseudomonadati; Pseudomonadota; Alphaproteobacteria; Rickettsiales
Description: tRNA-Thr
Rfam family: tRNA
About the family: Transfer RNA (tRNA) molecules are approximately 80 nucleotides in length. Their secondary structure includes four short double-helical elements and three loops (D, anti-codon, and T loops). Further hydrogen bonds mediate the characteristic L-shaped molecular structure. tRNAs have two regions of fundamental functional importance: the anti-codon, which is responsible for specific mRNA codon recognition, and the 3' end, to which the tRNAs corresponding amino acid is attached (by aminoacyl-tRNA synthetases). tRNAs cope with the degeneracy of the genetic code in two manners: having more than one tRNA (with a specific anti-codon) for a particular amino acid; and 'wobble' base-pairing, i.e. permitting non-standard base-pairing at the 3rd anti-codon position.
Source: RNAcentral